RNAcentral lists this ribosomal RNA (434 nucleotides) under uncultured bacterium. RNAcentral's name for it is "partial 16S ribosomal RNA". It matches the Rfam family "Bacterial small subunit ribosomal RNA", at positions 29 to 507 of the family's 1533-position model. The record is from RNAcentral.
AGCGAACGCUGGCGGCAGGCCUAACACAUGCAAGUCGAACGAACCUUUCGGGGUUAGUGGCGGACGGGUGAGUAACACGUGGGAACGUGCCUUUAGGUUCGGAAUAACUCAGGGAAACUUAUGCUAAUACCGAAUGUGCCCUUCGGGGGAAAGAUUUAUCGCCUUUAGAGCGGCCCGCGUCUGAUUAGCUAGUUGGUUGAGGUAAUGGCUCACCAAGGCGACGAUCAGUAGCUGGUCUGAGAGGAUGAUCAGCCACAUUGGGACUGAGACACGGCCCAAACUCCUACGGGAGGCAGCAGUGGGGAAUCUUGCGCAAUGGGCGAAAGCCUGACGCAGCCAUGCCGCGUGAAUGAUGAAGGUCUUAGGAUUGUAAAAUUCUUUCAACGGGGACGAUAAUGACGGUACCCGGAGAAGAAGCCCCGGCUAACUUCGUG